Molecule: long non-coding RNA, 1106 nt
Organism: Diorhabda sublineata
Lineage: Eukaryota; Metazoa; Arthropoda; Insecta; Coleoptera; Chrysomelidae
Exons: 3
Source: RefSeq, a predicted model, not a curated record
UUUCAAAUAUUAAGAUUUGCAGGCGAAAAUUCAAUAUUUUGGAGCUAUCUCCAUUAAAUAUGUUUAAUUUUCGAAAAGAACAAGAUUAUAUUAAGGUUAGGUUCAUUUUUGGAAUUAGGGUUUGUUAUUGGGCUAUAACAAUAACUCUGUUCUAUUUAGUAUAAUUUUAAUUCUUGUAUUAUUCAUCAUUAACACUAAAUUCGUAGUAGUACAUAUAAAUCAUAUUUUUCAUAUCUAUGUAAACAUAAUUUGAUUAUUUGAUAGUAUGUAUAAUAAAAAACGUUGAUGGGGACAGUUGCAAGUUAAACAUUAAAUUUACCAGGUUAAAGUUUAUUCUGGAACAGCACAUCUAAAGGACCUAGAGCAACUGUUUCAGGCAAAUUAAAGUUAUUGAUCAAGUUAUGGAAGACACUUCAAUGUUACCAUCGAUGAACAUGAAGUCUGAGAAGUCUCGGCUGGAUCCAUCUUGAAAACAAAUAUGAAACUUGAGCUGACAACUCUUAAAUUGAAAAAAGAUUUAAAGAGUACCUGAUGCCUCCAAUGUAAAAGCAGCCAAUGUUUCCAUAUGAAAGUGUUAUCAAAGUGUCAAUUCCAUUACUAUUCAAUCCUGAUGUUUCUUUUAUUGAAAAAAUAAAUAAAGUAUUAAAAAUGAGUACACCAAACCAAGUGACAUUUAUAUUAGUUGGAAUAUCAUUUUAAUAUGGAAUAAAAGUUCCAAAACUGUAGCAUCUUAUUAGUAGUUUUACAUAAAUGAAAGUAAGUGUGUUAAUAAUUCGAAAAUUGUACCAAUAGUUUAAUCAACUAUUAAAUUAUCAGGAGAUAAAGCAUGGUGGAAUAUGAGUAUGGAUUAGAUUUUCUGAUUCAUUUAGUAUCAAACUGAAAACAAAAUUUCGAAAUGGAAGAUGCCAUUUGUGCAAUUUAUGGGAGUUACAUCUUCAUGCAUUGCUUACUUGUGAUGGACUGUUAUGGAUUUCACUUGAGUAGAAUUUUUUUGCAAAACUACUAGGAAACGUAUAAAUGAUUGGUAUUUUUUUGGAUUAUAUUGUAAAAUACAAAUAAUUGAGAAAAACCCUGUAUAUCAUAAUUAAUAAAAAUAAUUUCAGAAA